Trachymyrmex septentrionalis is the source of this 340-nucleotide long non-coding RNA. RefSeq lists it as uncharacterized. The record is from RefSeq and is a predicted model, not a curated record. NCBI's taxonomy places the organism in Eukaryota, Metazoa, Arthropoda, Insecta, Hymenoptera, Formicidae. The transcript is spliced from 3 exons.
CUCAUCUGGAUUUCGUCUGCACAGCAUGAAAUUUUCAACGAUAAUGGAACCGCGCGGUACUUCACUUCCGUUAGCAAAAUCAAAGAUACCGAAGGUUAAAUAAAAAGUGAUCACGUCAAUAUGAAGACAGUGUAAUCGUCGGGAUAUGUAAGUGUAGACGUAAGUAGAGGAGACUUCAUAUCAGGGACGCUCUAUUAUAUGCGUGCAAAAACAAAAAUUUAAAUGGAAAAAGAGAAAAGAGAAGAAAUUCGGAGCAAUAUUGAAGUGUCGGCUUGCAAUCGAAAUACAUACGUAUACGUCCAAUUAUAUAAUACUUCUUUUUACAUGCGUACAUCAUGUA